This 253-nucleotide ribosomal RNA is filed under the name uncultured bacterium. RNAcentral's name for it is "partial 16S ribosomal RNA". It matches the Rfam family "Bacterial small subunit ribosomal RNA", at positions 524 to 776 of the family's 1533-position model. The record is from RNAcentral.
UACAGAGGGGGCAAGCGUUAUUCGGAAUUAUUGGGCGUAAAGGGCGCGUAGGCGGCUUGACAAGUGGAAGGUGAAAUCCCUCGGCUCAACUGAGGAACUGUUCUCCAAACUGUUUGGCUUGAGACCGGGAGAGGUGAGUGGAAUUCUCAGUGUAGCGGUGAAAUGCGUAGAUAUUGGGAGGAACACCAGUGGCGAAGGCGGCUCACUGGACCGGAACUGACGCUGAGGCGCGAAAGCGUGGGGAGCAAACGGG